AAAGGAAUUGACGGGGGCCCGCACAAGCGGUGGAGCAUGUGGUUUAAUUCGACGCAACGCGAAGAACCUUACCAAGGCUUGACAUCCUUAGAACCCGAAAGAGAUUUCGGGGUGCCCUUCGGGGAGCUAAGAGACAGGUGGUGCAUGGUUGUCGUCAGCUCGUGUCGUGAGAUGUUGGGUUAAGUCCCGCAACGAGCGCAACCCCUAUAUUCAGUUGCCAGCAUUUCGGAUGGGAACUCUGGAUAGACUGCCGGUGACAAACCGGAGGAAGGUGGGGAUGACGUCAAAUCAUCAUGCCCCUUAUGUCUUGGGCUACACACGUGCUACAAUGGGCAGUACAGACGGAAGCGAAGCUGUGAAGUGGAGCAAAUCCGAGAAAGCUGUUCGUAGUUCGGAUUGUAGGCUGCAACUCGCCUACAUGAAGUCGGAAUCGCUAGUAAUCGCAGGUCAGCACACUGCGGUGAAUACGUUCCCGGGCCUUGUACACACCGCCCGU
RNAcentral lists this ribosomal RNA (496 nucleotides) under uncultured bacterium. Its description in RNAcentral is "bacterial SSU rRNA". It matches the Rfam family "Bacterial small subunit ribosomal RNA", at positions 903 to 1397 of the family's 1533-position model. The record is from RNAcentral.